GGGGGAAUAUUGCACAAUGGGCGCAAGCCUGAUGCAGCCAUGCCGCGUGUAUGAAGAAGGCCUUCGGGUUGUAAAGCACUUUCAGCGGGGAGGAAGGCGAUAAGGUUAAUAACCUUGUCGAUGGACGUUACCCGCAGAAGAAGCACCGGCUAACUCCGGGCCAGCAGCCGCGGUAAUACGGAGGGUGCAAGCGUUAAUCGGAAUUACUGGGCGUAAAGCGCACGCAGGCGGUCUGUCAAGUCGGAUGUGAAAUCCCCGGGCUCAACCUGGGAACUGCAUUCGAAACUGGCAGGCUAGAGUCUUGUAGAGGGGGGUAGAAUUCCAGGUGUAGCGGUGAAAUGCGUAGAGAUCUGGAGGAAUACCGGUGGCGAAGGCGGCCCCCUGGACAAAGACUGACGCUCAGGUGCGAAAGCGUGGGGAGCAAACAGG
Molecule: ribosomal RNA, 429 nt
Filed under: Chloroflexota bacterium
Lineage: Bacteria; Bacillati; Chloroflexota
Description: Chloroflexi bacterium partial 16S ribosomal RNA
Rfam family: Bacterial small subunit ribosomal RNA
Source: RNAcentral